GACGAACGCUGGCGGCGUGCUUAACACAUGCAAGUCGAACGGACGAUCACCCUUCGGGGUGUGAGUUAGUGGCGGACGGGUGAGUAACGCGUGAGUAAUCUGCCUUGGAGUGGGGAAUAACACAGGGAAACUUGUGCUAAUACCGCAUAACGUCAUCGGGUGACAUCAUCUGGUGACCAAAGAUUUAUUGCUCCAAGAUGAGCUCGCGUCCGAUUAGAUAGUUGGUGAGGUAAUGGCCCACCAAGUCGACGAUCGGUAGCCGGACUGAGAGGUUGGCCGGCCACAUUGGGACUGAGACACGGCCCAGACUCCUACGGGAGGCAGCAGUGGGGAAUAUUAGGCAAUGGGGGAAACCCUGACCUAGCGACGCCGCGUGAAGGAUGAAGCUUUUCGGAUUGUAAACUUCUUUGGCAGGGGACGAUAAUGACGGUACCCUGAGAACAAGCCACGGCUAACUACGUGCCAGCAGCCGCGGUAAUACGUAGGUGGCGAGCGUUGUCCGGAUUUACUGGGUGUAAAGGGCGAGUAGGCGGGUAAACAAGUCAGAUGUGAAAUACCGAGGCUCAACUUCGGGGCUGCAUUUGAAACUGUUUAUCUUGAGUGAUGGAGAGGCAGGCGGAAUUCCCAGUGUAGCGGUAAAAUGCAUAGAGAUUGGGAGGAACACCAGUGGCGAAGGCGGCCUGCUGGACAUCAACUGACGCUGAGGAGCGAAAGUGUGGGGAGCAAACA
Molecule: ribosomal RNA, 729 nt
Filed under: uncultured bacterium
Lineage: Bacteria
Description: bacterial SSU rRNA
Rfam family: Bacterial small subunit ribosomal RNA
Source: RNAcentral